GUAACGAACACCCCAAUCUGGCCGAUUGAGAAACCAGGAAGGAAGGAAGUCAGACUGACAAACGACCUGAGGAGACUGAACGAAAUUGUUGAAGAUAUAGACACAGACAUUCCAAACCCCUACAUCCUACGGUAUAGACUGAA
Molecule: long non-coding RNA, 143 nt
Organism: Melanotaenia boesemani (Boeseman's rainbowfish)
Lineage: Eukaryota; Metazoa; Chordata; Actinopteri; Atheriniformes; Melanotaeniidae
Exons: 3
Source: RefSeq, a predicted model, not a curated record